UGGCUUGUCUGUCUGUCUGUCUGUCUGUCUGUCUGUCUGUCUGUCUGUCUGUCUGUCUGUCUGUCUGUCUGUCUGUCUGUCUGUCUGUCUGUCUGUCUGUCUGUCUGUCUGUCUGUGUGUCUGUGUGUCUGUCUGUGUCUUUUACCCAUUGCAGCUUUAUCACCAAGUUUAUUGCCUUGAAUGCAAUGUAUUGAUGUAUGCAUCAAUAUCCUAUCUGGAGAGCUGGGAGAGAGGAGAGUGAGGAGGGAGAGGGAGAGAGAUGAGAGAGGGAGAUGGUGAAGAAGGGGGGACGGAGGGAAGAGGAGAGAGAAAGAGGUGGACUUUCUGGACCCCAGGCAGGGAAGAGUGAAGGCUUUCCCCAAUCAGGGAGGUCUGGGGAACUUCUCCAUCCUAAUCGAUGCCCUUCAGGCCUCAGACCUGGGCUCCUACUGCUGUGCGCUGCAGAAUCAUGACCAGUGCCAUCGAGUGGAAGUUGAGGAACUUGAACAAGGUUCACACAUCGUGUUGUUUUUCAGCGUCGGCAGUUUGGCCAUCCUCCUAGUGCUCCUAAGUGGCUGUUUCUGCUGGGUGAAAUGGACACGAGUUUCUACUGAAAGAACACCAGACUAUAUCAACACCCAUUUCUGUGCAGGAUCCAGUGCACCUCCUGAGGACGUCGCAUGUAGUGACAAUGUCGGGAGAGACGUGGCACAGGAGAGAGGAGUCGGCAAUGAGCGACUGAUCUAUGAAAACAAUGAGCACGAUCCGACCAGAAUGCAGCACGAUCCGACCAGAAUGCAGCACGAUCCGACCAGAAUGCAGCACGAUCCGACCAGAAUGCAGCACGAUCUGACCAGAAUGCAGCACGAUCUGUCCAGAAUUCACCAUGAUCCGUCCAGAAUUCACCAUGAUCCAACCAGAAUUCAACAUGAAGCACAAAGAAACCAGCACAAACCAGCUAGAUACAAAAAUAAAUUGAGAGAUUCGAGUGAGAAAAGAAGACAGGGGUUUCAUGGAGAACUCAUGAGCAGAUUGCGCCAAUCAAGUCUCGGACAGCGUUACUACGGUAAAGUCAGAACUUUGUAAUGAUCAAUUUACAGUAUAGGCUUGCAGUGAUACUUUAUGAACUCUGACAGCAAACCAAGCCGAGAUCAACCAGCAAGCCAGAGUUCAGAUGGACAACCACCAAAGAGCAAACGAAGCAAAGACCAACCAGGAGGGCAGAUCCCAAAUGGACAACUGCCAAAGAGGAAGCUUUUGGAGAAAGAAACCCAAAGAGCAAUGUGAAUAUGAAAACCCUAUCUAUAACAGUGCAGUCCAACUCAAACUGUAGACGAGGAUGAAGAGGAUACUGGGUCUAAACUCCUUGGUCUCACUUUUGUUUGGG
This 1366-nucleotide long non-coding RNA is filed under the name Salmo salar (Atlantic salmon). RNAcentral describes it as "lncRNA (ENSSSAG00000104123.1)". Lineage: Eukaryota; Metazoa; Chordata; Actinopteri; Salmoniformes; Salmonidae. The record is from RNAcentral.